Molecule: ribosomal RNA, 850 nt
Filed under: Bacillus halotolerans
Lineage: Bacteria; Bacillati; Bacillota; Bacilli; Caryophanales; Bacillaceae
Description: bacterial SSU rRNA
Rfam family: Bacterial small subunit ribosomal RNA
Source: RNAcentral
CUGAUGUUAGCGGCGGACGGGUGAGUAACACGUGGGUAACCUGCCUGUAAGACUGGGAUAACUCCGGGAAACCGGGGCUAAUACCGGAUGCUUGUUUGAACCGCAUGGUUCAAACAUAAAAGGUGGCUUCGGCUACCACUUACAGAUGGACCCGCGGCGCAUUAGCUAGUUGGUGAGGUAAUGGCUCACCAAGGCAACGAUGCGUAGCCGACCUGAGAGGGUGAUCGGCCACACUGGGACUGAGACACGGCCCAGACUCCUACGGGAGGCAGCAGUAGGGAAUCUUCCGCAAUGGACGAAAGUCUGACGGAGCAACGCCGCGUGAGUGAUGAAGGUUUUCGGAUCGUAAAGCUCUGUUGUUAGGGAAGAACAAGUACCGUUCGAAUAGGGCGGUACCUUGACGGUACCUAACCAGAAAGCCACGGCUAACUACGUGCCAGCAGCCGCGGUAAUACGUAGGUGGCAAGCGUUGUCCGGAAUUAUUGGGCGUAAAGGGCUCGCAGGCGGUUCCUUAAGUCUGAUGUGAAAGCCCCCGGCUCAACCGGGGAGGGUCAUUGGAAACUGGGGAACUUGAGUGCAGAAGAGGAGAGUGGAAUUCCACGUGUAGCGGUGAAAUGCGUAGAGAUGUGGAGGAACACCAGUGGCGAAGGCGACUCUCUGGUCUGUAACUGACGCUGAGGAGCGAAAGCGUGGGGAGCGAACAGGAUUAGAUACCCUGGUAGUCCACGCCGUAAACGAUGAGUGCUAAGUGUUAGGGGGUUUCCGCCCCUUAGUGCUGCAGCUAACGCAUUAAGCACUCCGCCUGGGGAGUACGGUCGCAAGACUGAAACUCAAAGGAAUUGACGGGGGC